CAAAGGACGACGAAGAAGCCCUUCUCCGGCUACCCUCCCCCCUUGCUCAGUAAUUAAGAACACGACUCCCCUCCACGUUAGCUUUCACUCCUCCCCCACCGGCAGCCGCAACCAUGGAAGGAGUUCAGCAGCAUCUUGUUAGCAUGUCUGCCCUGCAAGAAUCGCUCGUUAAUGGGAGAUGCUGGGAGUGGGUAAUUUGGCCCAGAGAGGUGGAGUGACCUGACAGCAGCCACACAGCUAGCAGGUGGAAGGGCAUUUGAGGCCAGGGCGGGCGUGCUGCUGCAAGUUCACGUUCCCAUCAGGCUCCAGGUGCGGGUGUGACUGGAGCUGCAGCUGGAGCAGAGAAGGUUCCAGGCGCUGAACUUCAUGCUGGGGAAGCAGAUGAGAAAGACGCAGACCUGCCCUUGAGAGAUUGGCAGUCUGGAAGCAGAGAGAAAUGCGGAAAACAGACAGUGGAAUCAGUGCAGAGGUCAUAGACCCCAGGAAGGGCAGCCUCCGGGAUCCCCAUGCUUAAAGCAGCCUGGCACAGAGUGGACAUCUGGUUACUCUUUGUUGGAUGAGGGAGCAAAGCUGUAAAGGAUGGCAUUCCGGGAAUCCAAGGGACAGCCUCUUGAUGAGAGACUGUGGAAGUGCAAGCGGACAUGAGGCUCCAUCAGCCUGGGUCCCGAGGUGAAAAGGAGGCAGCACAGACCCUCCACCGAGAUGGAUGGACAGCAGGAGAAAGAACCCAACCUCCAUGGAUGGAGGCCGUUGAAGCUGAGGGGCACUGUCACUGCAGUGUCCCCCAGCCCACCUGGACUGACACAGGGACCCGCUUCGGGGCCACAGCUCCAGACCACAGAGCCGUGCAGCCGCCCAGAAUCCCAGCCCCUUGAAUACAAUUCCCCUGGUCCCAUGGAAACUGUCCCCAGGCCUGCGAGAUGAGGAGAUGGGUCUCAGCCUUGCCUCAUCUGGCGGUCUGGUCCUCACAUUGCUUUGUUCUGCUGGCUGGAAUAUCGAUCCAGGACUACGCGUCCCUGUUUAGUCCAGGAAAUAAA
Molecule: long non-coding RNA, 1037 nt
Organism: Artibeus jamaicensis (Jamaican fruit-eating bat)
Lineage: Eukaryota; Metazoa; Chordata; Mammalia; Chiroptera; Phyllostomidae
Exons: 5
Source: RefSeq, a predicted model, not a curated record